UCCGUAGGUGAACCUGCGGAAGGAUCAUUACCGAGCGAGAAUUCUCUGAAUUCAACCUCCCACCCGUGUUUAUUGUACCUUGUUGCUUCGGCGGGCCCGCCUCACGGCCGCCGGGGGGCAUCUGCCCCCGGGCCCGCGCCCGCCGAAGACACCUUGAACUCUGUAUGAAAAUUGCAGUCUGAGUCUGAAUAUAAAUUAUUUAAAACUUUCAACAACGGAUCUCUUGGUUCCGGCAUCGAUGAAGAACGCAGCGAAAUGCGAUACGUAAUGUGAAUUGCAGAAUUCAGUGAAUCAUCGAGUCUUUGAACGCACAUUGCGCCCCCUGGUAUUCCGGGGGGCAUGCCUGUCCGAGCGUCAUUGCUGCCCUCAAGCCCGGCUUGUGUGUUGGGUCUCGUCCCCCUUCCCGGGGGGACGGGCCCGAAAGGCAGCGGCGGCACCGCGUCCGGUCCUCGAGCGUAUGGGGCUUUGUCACCCGCUCUGUAGGCCCGGCCGGCGCCAGCCGACAACCCAUCAUCCUUUUCAGGUUGACCUCGGAUCAGGUAGGGAUACCCGCUGAACUUAAGCAUAUCAAUAAGCGGAGGA
RNAcentral lists this ribosomal RNA (582 nucleotides) under Penicillium sp. HM104. Its description in RNAcentral is "eukaryotic LSU rRNA". The stretch from base 204 to 357 matches the Rfam family "5.8S ribosomal RNA". Lineage: Eukaryota; Fungi; Ascomycota; Eurotiomycetes; Eurotiales; Aspergillaceae. The record is from RNAcentral.